This 301-nucleotide ribosomal RNA is filed under the name uncultured bacterium. RNAcentral's name for it is "partial 16S ribosomal RNA". It matches the Rfam family "Bacterial small subunit ribosomal RNA", at positions 509 to 807 of the family's 1533-position model. The record is from RNAcentral.
CAGCAGCCGCGGGAAUACGGAGGGGGCUAGCGUUAUUCGGAAUUACUGGGCGUAAAGCGCACGUAGGCGGCUUCGCAAGUCAGAGGUGAAAGCCUGGGGCUCAACUCCAGAAUUGCCUUUGAGACUGCGUCGCUCGAAUCCGGGAGAGGUGAGUGGAAUUCCGAGUGUAGAGGUGAAAUUCGUAGAUAUUCGGAAGAACACCAGUGGCGAAGGCGGCUCACUGGACCGGCAUUGACGCUGAGGUGCGAAAGCGUGGGGAGCAAACAGGAUUAGAUACCCCGGUAGUCCCUGUCUCUUAUAC